GGAGUCGGCCAGGCAAUCGCCCGAUCGUAAGGUCGGGAGGAAAGUCCGGGCUCCGGCGGACAGGGUGCCAGGUAACGCCUGGGGGGCGCGAGCCCACGGAAAGUGCCACAGAAAAUAUACCGCCACGGGCCUCGGCUCGUGGUAAGGGUGAAAUGGUGCGGUAAGAGCGCACCGCGCGGGUGGCAACACGCCGCGGCACGGUAAACCCCACCCGGAGCAAGACCAAAUAGGGGAGUACUCCGGCGCCUUCGGACGCCGCGAACCGUCGUCCGCGCGGACUCCCGGGUAGGUCGCUAGAGGCCGAUGGUGACGUCGGUCCCAGAUGAAUGAUUGCCCACGACAGAACCCGGCUUACCGGCCGGCUCCUUCU
RNAcentral lists this RNase P RNA (370 nucleotides) under Gammaproteobacteria bacterium. RNAcentral's name for it is "RNase P RNA component class A". It matches the Rfam family "Bacterial RNase P class A". Rfam says of the family: Ribonuclease P (RNase P) is a ubiquitous endoribonuclease, found in archaea, bacteria and eukarya as well as chloroplasts and mitochondria. The record is from RNAcentral. Lineage: Bacteria; Pseudomonadati; Pseudomonadota; Gammaproteobacteria.